GUGGGGAAUCUUGCGCAAUGGGCGAAAGCCUGACGCAGCCAUGCCGCGUGAAUGAUGAAGGUCUUAGGAUUGUAAAAUUCUUUCACCGGGGACGAUAAUGACGGUACCCGGAGAAGAAGCUCCGGCUAACUUCGUGCCAGCAGCCGCGGUAAUACGAAGGGGGCUAGCGUUGCUCGGAAUUACUGGGCGUAAAGGGCGCGUAGGCGGAUCGUUAAGUCAGGGGUGAAAUCCCAGAGCUCAACUCUGGAACUGCCCUUGAUACUGGCGAUCUUGAGUGUGAGAGAGGUAUGUGGAACUCCGAGUGUAGAGGUGAAAUUCGUAGAUAUUCGGAAGAACACCAGUGGCGAAGGCGACUCACUGGCCCAAUACUGACGCUGAGGCGCGAAAGCGUGGGGAACAAACAGGAUUAGAUACCCCUGUAGUCC
This 425-nucleotide ribosomal RNA is filed under the name uncultured bacterium. RNAcentral describes it as "partial 16S ribosomal RNA". It matches the Rfam family "Bacterial small subunit ribosomal RNA", at positions 354 to 796 of the family's 1533-position model. The record is from RNAcentral.